CAGCAGCCACGGUAAUACGGAGGGUGCAAGCGUUAAUCGGAAUUACUGGGCGUAAAGCGCACGCAGGCGGUCUGACAAGUCAGAUGUGAAAUCCCCGGGCUUAACCUGGGAACCGCAUUUGAAACUGUCAGGCUGGAGUCUUGUAGAGGGGGGUGGAAUUCCAGGUGUAGCGGUGAAAUGCGUAGAGAUCUGGAGGAAUACCGGUGGCGAAGGCGGCCCCCUGGACAAAGACUGACGCUCAGGUGCGAAAGCGUGGGGAGCAAACAGGAUUAGAUAUCCCGGUAGUCCCUGUCUCUUAUAC
Molecule: ribosomal RNA, 301 nt
Filed under: uncultured bacterium
Lineage: Bacteria
Description: partial 16S ribosomal RNA
Rfam family: Bacterial small subunit ribosomal RNA
Source: RNAcentral